AAUAGAUGACGCCGUUGAUUUUUUCUCAAAUGUUUGACCAUUCGUCUUAUUCAAAAAUUUUACGUAAUUAUAAUUUAUUUUAUUAUGAGUUGUUUUAUCACUCAUAGUACUUUAAGUAUGAUUUAUAUAAAAUUUUUGAAUAAGACGAAUGGUCAAACAUGUGAGAAAAAGUUAACGGCGUCAUCUAUU
RNAcentral lists this microRNA precursor (189 nucleotides) under Oryza sativa Indica Group (long-grained rice). RNAcentral's name for it is "MIR812 microRNA precursor family". It matches the Rfam family "MIR812 microRNA precursor family". Lineage: Eukaryota; Viridiplantae; Streptophyta; Magnoliopsida; Poales; Poaceae. The record is from Rfam by way of RNAcentral.